RNAcentral lists this ribosomal RNA (510 nucleotides) under uncultured organism. Its description in RNAcentral is "SSU rRNA". It matches the Rfam family "Bacterial small subunit ribosomal RNA", at positions 15 to 509 of the family's 1533-position model. The record is from RNAcentral.
GAUCCUGGCUCAGGAUGAACGCUAGCUACAGGCUUAACACAUGCAAGUCGCGGGGCAGCGCAUGGGGCAGCAAUGUCCCUGGCGGCGACCGGCGGAUGGGUGAGUAACGCGUAUCCAACCUGGCCCCCUCUCCGGGACAGCCCCCUCGAAAGAGGGAUUAAUACCGGAUGUUCCCUGUUUUCCGCAUGGCAUUCAGGGCAAAGGCCUUUCUGGCCGGAAGGGGAUGGGGAUGCGUUCCAUUAGGCAGCCGGCGGGGUGACGGCCCACCGGGCCUUCGAUGGAUAGGGGUUCUGAGAGGAAGGCCCCCCACACUGGGACUGAGACACGGCCCAGACUCCUACGGGAGGCAGCAGUGAGGAAUAUUGGACAAUGGCCGGAAGGCUGAUCCAGCCAUGCCGCGUGCGGGAAGACGGCCCUAUGGGUUGUAAACCGCUUUUGUUGGGGAGCAAUAAGGUCCACGUGUGGAUUGAUGAGAGUACCCAGCGAAUAAGCAUCGGCUAACUCCGUGCC